Molecule: long non-coding RNA, 487 nt
Organism: Syngnathus typhle (broad-nosed pipefish)
Lineage: Eukaryota; Metazoa; Chordata; Actinopteri; Syngnathiformes; Syngnathidae
Exons: 3
Source: RefSeq, a predicted model, not a curated record
GCUCUCCUGAAUCAGGCAAAUGGAAUGAUGUUCAAUUCUAAUACAUUUUUGUAAUAAGCACAAUGAUAUAGAACACCAUCAAGGGGGGAAAAAAAGUGCUCUCCUACCAAGGGAACUUUUUCCGAAGUAAUUUUGAUCACAGGAGCAGUUGGGAAAUUGAUGUUGGACGCCAUUGUGCCCAGCCUGACGUUUUCGGAAGAAUUCAACUUCAGAGUCUGAGAUGAGCCUGGCUGCAGACGACAGCGUCUGAAAACAAUUCCAUUCCGGAAUGUGGGCAAAACAAGAUUGGUCUUUUUGUUCAGCUCGAUGAGCGUCGCAGAAAACCCAACCAACCCGCCUCAGGUAAACCAAGACAAUGUGCAACGCCACAGCUCACCCGGUGGGUCUUUAAUCGCUUCGAAAUGUACGGUCAAUGAGCACAAUCCACUUAGAAAGAUUAAAAAAAAUGUAAUCGAUCGCUCAGCGAGUAUCAAAUAACGAUUAGCUA